UGAAAGAUGGCCUCUGCUUGCACGCUAUCACUCGUGGAUCGGCCUGCGCACCAUUAGCUAGUUGGUGAGGUAACGGCUCACCAAGGCCGAGAUGGUUAGCUGGUCUGAGAGGAUGGCCAGCCACACUGGGACUGAGACACGGCCCAGACUCCUACGGGAGGCAGCAGUGGGGAAUAUUGCGCAAUGGGCGAAAGCCUGACGCAGCGACGCCGCGUGGGUGAUGAAGGCCUUCGGGUCGUAAAGCCCUGUCGGGAGGGAAGAAACGACCUCGACCUAACACGUCGAGGUAUAUUGACGGUACCUCCUAAGGAAGCACCGGCUAACUCCGUGCCAGCAGCCGCGGUAA
RNAcentral lists this ribosomal RNA (346 nucleotides) under uncultured delta proteobacterium. Its description in RNAcentral is "bacterial SSU rRNA". It matches the Rfam family "Bacterial small subunit ribosomal RNA", at positions 201 to 523 of the family's 1533-position model. Lineage: Bacteria; Deltaproteobacteria. The record is from RNAcentral.